This 422-nucleotide ribosomal RNA is filed under the name Holodactylus africanus. Its description in RNAcentral is "partial 16S rRNA". It matches the Rfam family "Bacterial large subunit ribosomal RNA", at positions 1970 to 2594 of the family's 2925-position model. The record is from RNAcentral. Lineage: Eukaryota; Metazoa; Chordata; Lepidosauria; Squamata; Eublepharidae.
UGUCUUUUAAAUAAAGACCCGUAUGAAUGGCUCAAUGAGGGCCCAACUGUCUUCUAUGGCAAAUCAAUGAAACUGAUCUUUCAGUACAAAAGCUGAAAUACACACAUAAGACGAGAAGACCCUGUGGAGCUUUAACUAACGUGUCAAACAAACCACUUGCACCAUGACACCACAUUUAAGUUGGGGCAACUUUGGAAAAAAACAAAACUUCCAAGAAUAUCUUCGUACUAAGGCUGACAAGCCAAAGUACACCUCCACCGACCCAGUACAAACUGAUUAACGAACCAAGUUACCCCAGGGAUAACAGCGCAAUCCUCUUUUAGAGUCCAUAUCGCCAAGAGGGUUUACGACCUCGAUGUUGGAUCAGGACACCCCAGUGGUGCAGCCGCUACUAAAGGUUCGUUUGUUCAACGAUUAAUAGU